RNAcentral lists this ribosomal RNA (719 nucleotides) under uncultured bacterium. Its description in RNAcentral is "bacterial SSU rRNA". It matches the Rfam family "Bacterial small subunit ribosomal RNA", at positions 73 to 792 of the family's 1533-position model. The record is from RNAcentral.
GAUGUGCUUGCACAUCGCUGACGAGUGGCGGACGGGUGAGUAAUGCUUGGGAACUUGCCUUUGCGAGGGGGAUAACAGUUGGAAACGACUGCUAAUACCGCAUAAUGUCUUCGGACCAAACGGGGCUUCGGCUCCGGCGCAAAGAGAGGCCCAAGUGAGAUUAGCUAGUUGGUAAGGUAACGGCUUACCAAGGCGACGAUCUCUAGCUGUUCUGAGAGGAAGAUCAGCCACACUGGGACUGAGACACGGCCCAGACUCCUACGGGAGGCAGCAGUGGGGAAUAUUGCACAAUGGGGGAAACCCUGAUGCAGCCAUGCCGCGUGUGUGAAGAAGGCCUUCGGGUUGUAAAGCACUUUCAGUUGUGAGGAAAAGUUAGUAGUUAAUACCUGCUAGCCGUGACGUUAACAACAGAAGAAGCACCGGCUAACUCCGUGCCAGCAGCCGCGGUAAUACGGAGGGUGCGAGCGUUAAUCGGAAUUACUGGGCGUAAAGCGCACGCAGGCGGUUUGUUAAGCUAGAUGUGAAAGCCCCGGGCUCAACCUGGGAUGGUCAUUUAGAACUGGCAGACUAGAGUCUUGGAGAGGGGAGUGGAAUUCCAGGUGUAGCGGUGAAAUGCGUAGAGAUUGGAAGGAACAUCAGUGGCGAAGGCGGCCACCUGGACAAAAACUGACGCUGAGGCACGAAAGCGUGGGUAGCAAACAGGAUUAGAUACCCUGGUA